CAGAGGGAAUUCCUGGUGUAGCGGUGAAAUGCGUAGAGAUCAGGAAGAACAUCGGUGGCGAAGGCGCUCUGCUGGACCAUAACUGGCACUCAGGGACGAAAGCUAGGGGAGCGAAUGGGAUUAGAUACCCCAGUAGUCCUAGCCGUAAACGAUGGAUACUAGGUGUUGUCUGUAUCGACCCGGACAGUGCCGUAGCUAACGCGUUAAGUAUCCCGCCGUGGGGAGUACGGCCGCAAAGGUUAAAACUACAAAUGAAUUGACGGGGGCCCGCACAAGCGGUGGAGCAUGUGGUUUAAU
RNAcentral lists this ribosomal RNA (297 nucleotides) under uncultured Phormidium sp. RNAcentral's name for it is "partial 16S ribosomal RNA". It matches the Rfam family "Bacterial small subunit ribosomal RNA", at positions 658 to 950 of the family's 1533-position model. The record is from RNAcentral. Lineage: Bacteria; Bacillati; Cyanobacteriota; Cyanophyceae; Oscillatoriales; Oscillatoriaceae.